GAUGAACGCUGACAGAAUGCUUAACACAUGCAAGUCAACUUGAACUUUGGUUUGGGUGGCGGACGGGUGAGUAACGCGUAAAGAACUUGCCUCACAGCUAGGGACAACAUUUGGAAACGAAUGCUAAUACCUGAUAUUAUGAUUAUAUGGCAUCGUAUAAUUAUGAAAGCUAAAUGCACUGUGAGAGAGCUUUGCGUCCCAUUAGCUAGUUGGAGAGGUAACGGCUCACCAAGGCGAUGAUGGGUAGCCGGCCUGAGAGGGUGAACGGCCACAAGGGGACUGAGACACGGCCCUUACUCCUACGGGAGGCAGCAGUGGGGAAUAUUGGACAAUGGACCGAGAGUCUGAUCCUGCAAUUCUGUGUGCACGACGAAGUUUUUUUGAAUGGUAAGUGCUUUCUGUUGGGAAGAAAAAAAUGACGGGACCACCAGCAAAAGAGAUGGCUAAAUACGUGGUGCCAGCCGCCGUAAUAAUUAUGUCGUGAGGGUUAUCCUCAUUAUUUGUGGAGCGACUAGGCUAGUUGGAGGUGCUAUUCUUAUGUGGAACGAGGGCGCGACUCUUUAUUGCGGGGAAAAGACUAAUAAAGUGCGGGUAAGGUAAGUGCACCUAUAAGCUGGAGGGAAGUGUCUCUUAUUUUUUGUGACCUGGCCAAGCCACUCACGCAAAAAUCAGAUGCCUAUCCUCAAACACG
RNAcentral lists this ribosomal RNA (691 nucleotides) under uncultured Varibaculum sp. Its description in RNAcentral is "bacterial SSU rRNA". The stretch from base 1 to 493 matches the Rfam family "Bacterial small subunit ribosomal RNA", at positions 28 to 546 of the family's 1533-position model. The record is from RNAcentral. Lineage: Bacteria; Bacillati; Actinomycetota; Actinomycetes; Actinomycetales; Actinomycetaceae.